RNAcentral lists this ribosomal RNA (549 nucleotides) under uncultured bacterium. RNAcentral's name for it is "bacterial SSU rRNA". It matches the Rfam family "Bacterial small subunit ribosomal RNA", at positions 8 to 605 of the family's 1533-position model. The record is from RNAcentral.
AGAGUUUGAUCCUGGCUCACAACGAACGCUGGCGGCAGGCCUAAUACAUGCAAGUCGAACGCCCCGCAAGGGGAGUGGCGCACGGGUGAGUAACGCGUGGGGAUGUGCCCUUGGGUACGGAACAACACCGGGAAACUGGUGCUAAUACCGUAUAAUGACUCCGGUCCAAAGAUUUAUCGCCCAAGGAUCAACCCGCGUUGGAUUAGCUAGUUGGUAGGGUAACGGCCUACCAAGGCGACGAUCCAUAGCUGGUCUUAGAGGAUGAUCAGCCACACUGGAACUGAGACACGGUCCAGACUCCUACGGGAGGCAGCAGUAAGGAAUAUUGGACAAUGGGGGAAACCCUGAUCCAGCCAUGCCGCGUGAAUGAAGAAGGCCUUAGGGUUGUAAAGUUCUUUUAGAUGCGAAGAUAAUGACGGUAGCAUCAGAAAAAGCUCCGGCUAACUCCGUGCCAGCAGCCGCGGUAAUACGGAGGGAGCGAGCGUUGUUCGGAAUUACUGGGCGUAAAGCGUGCGCAGGCGGCUAGAUAAGUCAGAAGUGAAAUCCCAG